This 460-nucleotide ribosomal RNA is filed under the name uncultured bacterium. Its description in RNAcentral is "SSU rRNA". It matches the Rfam family "Bacterial small subunit ribosomal RNA", at positions 26 to 518 of the family's 1533-position model. The record is from RNAcentral.
AGAAUCAACGCUGGCGGCGUGCCUAACACAUGCAAGUCGAACGAGAAAGUGGAGCAAUCCAUGAGUAAAGUGGCGCACGGGUGAGUAACACGUGACUAACCUACCUUUUAGUGGGGGAUAACCUAGGGAAACCUGGGCUAAUACCGCAUAAUACCUACGGGUCAAAGCAGCAAUGCGCUGAAAGAGGGGGUCGCGGUCGAUUAGUUAGUUGGCAGGGUAAUGGCCUACCAAGACUGUGAUCGAUAUCCGGCCUGAGAGGGCGCACGGACACACUGGAACUGAAACACGGUCCAGACUCCUACGGGAGGCAGCAGUGGGGAAUUUUGCGCAAUGGGGGAAACCCUGACGCAGCAACGCCGCGUGGAGGAUGAAGUCCCUUGGGACGUAAACUCCUUUCGAUCGGGACGAUAAUGACGGUACCGGAAGAAGAAGCCCCGGCUAACUUCGCGCCAGCAGCCGC